RNAcentral lists this ribosomal RNA (253 nucleotides) under uncultured bacterium. Its description in RNAcentral is "partial 16S ribosomal RNA". It matches the Rfam family "Bacterial small subunit ribosomal RNA", at positions 524 to 776 of the family's 1533-position model. The record is from RNAcentral.
UACGUAGGGUGCAAGCGUUGUCCGGAAUUAUUGGGCGUAAAGAGCUCGUAGGCGGCUCGGAAAGUCGGGCGUGAAAUGCCGGGGCUCAACCCCGGGACUGCGUCCGAUACUUCCGAGCUGGAGGUAGGUAGGGGAGAUCGGAAUUCCUGGUGUAGCGGUGAAAUGCGCAGAUAUCAGGAGGAACACCGGUGGCGAAGGCGGAUCUCUGGGCCUUACCUGACGCUGAGGCGCGAAGGCCAGGGGAGCAAACGGG